This is a non-coding RNA of Salmo salar (Atlantic salmon), 8839 nucleotides long. The record is from RefSeq and is a predicted model, not a curated record. Lineage: Eukaryota; Metazoa; Chordata; Actinopteri; Salmoniformes; Salmonidae.
AGCACUUGUCUUGACACGAUUAUAUAAUAUGUCGAUUCAGUUUGUACUGUUUUGUGUGAAAGAAACGCCUCCCACUGGCUGCUAUCACCAAGCUAGUGAACUCUUUUUUUUUUUCUUUCUUUUUUUCAUUUUGAAUUUGACUAAAUUAUUCCAUUUUUGGUCUAACGUUAUAUUUAAGUAUUUAUUUUACUUGUUUAUGGUUACAUUUGUCGCGAGCCUAUUAUUAGCUAGCCAGCCAUACAGGCUAGCUGGCCGAGGUCUUGUUUGAUAGCCCAGCUAGCGUUAGCUAGUAGCGGGUAGCCAAAUCCAGGGCAUACAGCAGCUGCUUUUAAUCCCUGUUUUUACUUGUUAAAGAAAAUGAAGAUAACGGUGGAAUUCGAGGAAUGUCUCAAAGACUCUCCAAGAUUCAGGGCCACUGUAGAGGAGGUGGAGGGGGAUGUCGGGGAACUGGAGUCCAAACUUGACAAGCUGGUGAAGCUAUGCAUCGGGAUGAUCGAUGCCGGCAAGGCCUACAACACUGCCAAUAAACAGUUUGUCAAUGGAAUCCGCGAGCUCGCUGCAAGCUCCACCAAAGAUGAAGUCAUCGAGUCCAGUCUCACAAAGUUUGCCGAGAGUCUGCAGGAGAUGAUCAACUAUCACACGAUUUUGUUUGACCAGGCCCAGCGAUCGGUCAAGACCCAGCUUCUAACUUUUGUGAAGGAGGACCUGCGUAAGUUCAAAGAGUCCAAGAAGCAGUUUGACAAGGUGAGCGAGGAGAAGGAGGCGGCGCUGACUAAGAAUGCCCAGGUGCCGCGCAACAAGCAGCACGAGGUGGAGGAGGCCACCAACAUCCUGACGGCCACACGCAAAUGCUUCCGCCACAUCGUCCUCGACUAUGUCCUUCAGAUCAAUGUACUCCAGUCUAAGAGAAGAUCGGAAAUCCUGAAAUCGAUGCUGUCCUUCAUGUACGCCCACCUGACCUUCUUCCACCAGGGAUACGACCUCUUCAGUGAACUACAACCUCUCAUGAAACAGCUGGGGGGACAGCUGGACCAGCUGGUGGUUGAUGCAGCCAAAGAGAAGAGGGACAUGGAGCAGAAACACUCCACCAUUCAACAGAAGGCUGCUCUGCAGGAGGUGACAGAGGUUGAACCUUUACCCGAUGGACGCAGCUUUUGCGCGUGGAGGUCCUCCGACUUCUCGAAUGACGACACCAAGCUGGAGUACAAUGUGGACGCAGACAAUGGCAUCGCGAUGGAGGGCUACCUGUUUAAGAGGGCCAGCAAUGCCUUCAAGACAUGGAACAGGCGCUGGUUCUCCAUUCAAAACAAUCAGUUAGUUUACCAGAAGAAAUUCAAGGAUAAUCCCACAGUGGUGGUGGAGGACUUGCGGCUAUGCACAGUCAAACACUGUGAGGAUAUCGAACGCCGCUUCUGCUUUGAAGUGGUGUCCCCCACCAAGAGCUGUAUGAUGCAGGCGGACUCUGAGAAGCUGAGGCAGGCCUGGAUCAAAGCUGUCCAGAACAGCAUCGCCACCGCCUUCAGGGAGCAGGGAGAGGACGCUGAGAAGCUGGACCGGAAGUCUUCCACGUCGACUGGCAGCCUGGAAUCGGGCGGCGAACCCAAAGAAAAGUCACUAAAGGGGGAGAGUGCCCUCCAGAGGGUCAUGGUCAUUGGGGGCAAUGCCUGCUGCUGCGACUGUGGCCAGCCUGACCCUCGCUGGGCCAGCAUCAACCUGGGCAUCACCCUCUGCAUCCAGUGCUCUGGAAUACACAGGAGUCUGGGGGUCCAUUUCUCCAAGGUGCGCUCGCUCACUCUGGACUCAUGGGAACCGGAACUACUCAAGCUGAUGUGUGAGCUGGGGAACGGGGUCAUCAACCAGAUCUACGAGGCUCGGAGAGAGGAACUGGGAGCCAGGAAGCCAAGGCCAGCAGACCCCAGGCAGGAGAUCGAGGCCUACAUCAGGGCCAAGUACGUGGACCGGCAUUUCGUGCGGCGCCCGUCUGACGAGGAGCUGCGCUCCAAGGUGGUGUCCCUGUCCAAGCAGGAGAAGAGGCUGAGCAGCAGUUUGGAGCACCUGCCUCCCCGGCCGCCACCGCCCACGCCCAAACUCCGGCCCGCCUCCAAUGCCUCAAGUCAGUCAGCUGCCACCAAGGGCUUGGAGGCCCGCCGUGACUCUCUCUUCUGUCCAGACGAGCUUGACUCGCUCUUCUCCUACUUUGACACCUCCGCCAAGCUUAGGAGCAUAAGAAGUGCAGACAGUGGCAUCCAGAACAGUGCUGAUGGGAGUAGGGAGAUGCUGGCCACCAUCCCCUCCACGAACAGCCUGGCUGAAGCAGAAGCUGCCGAGGCGCCUCCCAUGACUAUGCCUGCCAUCCUGCCCCCUCCGUCGCCCUGUAAGGAGGUGGUGGUGUUCUCGGAGCCCAAGGAGUACUCCCCGGGACUGCAGCUGUACUGGGCCUCGUGUGCCCGCAGCCUGCCUGACAUGGCUGAGGCCCUUGCCCACGGAGGGGAGGUCAACUGGGUCAACACCGACGACGAUAAGAGGACCCCGCUCAUCAUGGCUGUGCAGGGGGGCUCUUUGGUGACCUGUGAGUUCCUUCUCCAAAAUGCGGCCAACGUGAACCAGCAGGACGCCCAGGGCCGAGGACCACUUCACCACGCCACCAUCCUGGGUCACACUGGUCAAGUGUGUUUAUUCCUGAAAAGAGGAGCCAAUCAGAAAGCGGCAGACAUUGAAGAGAAAACGCCCCUAUCCAUGGCAGUGGACGCUGCCAAUGCAGACAUUGUCACACUGCUGCGAUUGGCCAAGAUGAAUGAGGAGAUGCGGGAGGCGGAGGGGCCCUACAUGCAGUCAGGUCAAUAUUUCACCAACAGCCCCACCGAGAUGCAAUACAGGAAGUGCAUGCAGGAGUUUAUUAACCUGCAGCUGGAUGAACCCUAGAGACAGUAGAGCCCCAAUACACAGACAGGACUGGCAUCAUAUCUUUAAUAAGCAGACAUUUGAUGUCCUGUGUUGUUGUUCAAUACCUCUAUGAAGACUCAGGUCAGCCAGGUGGUAAGCUAAGCUGCAUCUUGUGUCUAGAGAAAGGUGCUAGACUUUUAUUUACGUGACCGGGGUCAAAGCCAUUAGCCGUAGAGCCAGUGUUUUGACUAGUGAACUGCUGUGACUCGCUGCUCCUUUGAAGUCGUGGCUGUUGUUGUCUGAUGUGUUCCAACUUUCAAACAGCCAUGUCUUUUAUUAGUUGCAAUGUCUAUUCAAAGAGAACUUGCAACAGAGGUCGUCAUGACUAUCAAAUAGCAGUCACGACUAUGUUACGUCAGUCUUGACUAUCAGGCAAUAAUCCUGACUUUUUGAAUGACAGUUUUGACCAUCAGACUGUUGAGUAGCUAGCAGUGUCUUGCCAUGCACCAGGUGUGAUUAUUAGUGAUUUACCUUAGGGAAUAUUUAUAUGCAUAUUCCUGAUAUGCUUAUGCAAUAUUUCAGUGUGUUACAUGCUUGUAUGUUUCCCACAGCGAGUCUUAAACUCCUGUGUAAAAGACCUUGUCUUGUUUGACAUUUUUAUCGUUACAAUGAAGUAUCAAUCUUGGCACAUUUUACGUAUGAACUUUACUUUUGGGAAAUUGACUUGGGAAAGAAUCUAUUUUAAAACGACAAUUGGAUCCAUAUAAGCAUACAAAUUGUUGUAAAUUGUGUAUUGUACAUAAAUAUACAUGUCUAUAUCAUAACAGUAUUAAGCAGAAUAGGAAGUAAAGUUGAGAGAGAUUCUCUGAAGCGGUAAUGUAAAACAACACUGGGUGAGUGCUGUGGCUUCUGUGCUUGCAUCCUUGUAUUAGUUUUUUUGUAUUGUGUGGUAUUUUAUACACCUGUUUUAAGUAUUAAGCUUUCAUUUGAUUGUUAGUCUACCUGGUUACAGUAUGCUGCCUGUCAAAAUUGAACAUUUUCCCCCACUGGGAAUCCUGUUCUUUGUCUGACAACAUUAAUUGACUGUCCUUAAUGUUAGCUGACACUAUUUAGGGUGUGAAUUUAAGUUUAGAUAAGGGAUAUCAAGGUGGUAGAGGACAGUAGUAUAGAAAAGUAUCCAUAUUUAACCAUUUACAGCAUUUUACCACAUACUAGUUAUAUAAUUACCUUAAACUUAUUGGAGCUUAAAGAAAAUGUAAAAAAAAAAAAGAUUUUACUGAGAAUGUCAAUAUAGAACAGUGUGAAGCUCACUCAAGAAUUGUUGGAAAAUAAUGAAUGAAUGAAAUGUACCCCUCUUUCAUCCUUCAUCUCCCCGCUCUCGUAGUCUAUGCCCCUGGCAAUGCCCCCGGGCCAGAUGGGUAAUUUAAACAGGACAAAAAGCACUUUUAUCCGACCUCAUCAUUACUGACACAUCAGACUGCUCCUAGAAGUCCAUAUAAGACUCCCCUUAGCACUUACUGAGUACUACUGUACCCUGAUCCUGGCCAAAGGGGAUGGAUAUCAGCUGAAAGAGAACACACAGAGACUCCACCAUGUAUCCAGUCAGCCAUCUCACUGUAUGUUGAGCAGGUUGGACAGCCCAGAGGCAAGACAUGUACCUCCCCCUUGGUUGUCUGAUAUAUGUCAAUGGUGGUCUCAUGUACCAUGUAGUCCUGCUCUGUGACCAGCCAGUGUGUGUGAGUGUGCACUGAGGAGAUUGAGUAUCAGUUAAAAAAGUGAUUUUAAUGAUUGUGAUGGAUAGCGCUGUUCCUGAAAAGUUUUGUCUAAAGGCCUUUGUAUGUCGAUUCAGUCUUUGACGAUUAUCACGUCACACUGUGCAACGUUACCAAAUUGGCCACGUCACCAGACAGGCUACAUCAACUGCAUCGGUGUAUUUGAUCUGCGCAUGUACCAGCACACUGCUUUUCCGCGAGUGAAGUGAGUUCGGAAAAACUGGAAGUAUGCAAACUUUAUAUGUCCAAACUGAGUCAAAUAGGCUUUCCAAAAAUAACAUGGACGCUGUGGUAGAACGUUUAUUAUGAUUGCUGAUUUUGUGCAUUUAUCAAAAUCUCAUCAGGUAGCCUGAUUUCAGAUGUCAUGUAAACAAGAUUAUUAGGGAAAUCGUUGUUCUUGCACAGCAUGUACAUGUUUAAAUCAAACUAUUAUAUUUAAUCUGACUAAUCACAAUAAUAUUAAUUAAUAUUAAAGGCAAAAAAAUUGGUCGGAGCCUACGACCGCACGUAGUGGUACUUAAUUGGCAGACCCUACGAGCCAAGAUGUCCGAAAAUCGUUUACGACCUAAGAAUUUGCCGACGACUUGGAAACUUUGUCGGGGGCGACAAAAUCGUGACAUAAGAUAGGUCAAAUCGUACAGUCUGCAAAGGCCUUAGGCUAGAGUUUGAAGUGUGAGUCUGACAGGGUAAGGAAACAAUUUGUGCCACAAGAGUGCUGCAUUUAGAAAUUCCCCCCCAUUCACUGAAUGAGUGGAAUAUACUGAGGGCUAACAGUUGCGUUUGGAAGGCAGCCUAGGUGACAGUAUGUUGCUCUUUGGACUUGACGUAAUGUAGGCUAUUGGAUAUUGUUCCUCCAUUUCAAAUGUGUUUGGCAAUUUCUCACUAUGUAGAUUCAGUCAAUGGCCAUAGAUGGCAUAGCUGCACCAUAGAUUAUUGGACCUGUAACAAGAAGAAUACUUGAUUGAAUACGACUGUCCACGUACCGUUUUCCUCAAUGUAACUUCUGUCAUACUUUAAAAAUGCGAUGUGAGUGAUUAUUAUUGCCUUAAGGUCAAGAGCAAAUACAGUAGUGUGGAUACAGUAGUGUUGAUUACAAAGACAAUGUUUUACACUUUGUUAGUGAAGGAACCUGAAGUGUAUGAAUGUGUUGUAGGGAAGGGAUCCAAAUGAAGUGUGGAACGAGGCUGUCUUGUUACUUAGUCUUUCUCUAACUUCACUUUUCUGUUUUCUGUACUGUUCUCUUUUUUCCCUCUCUCUCCCCGGAGUUUGUGCCUUUCUUCUGUUCUCUCGUUUCUUUGGGGUGCUGAGGCCAACACAGCUGUAUUUUUGUACAUAAAUCCUGCACUUUAAAUACAAUACAGUUGCUAACAAAACUAAUCUUGUGAUGAUUUUUUUCCCGCAUCACAAUUCACUGCAAAGAGAGGGCCUUACCUUGGUAUUGCUUCAGGCCUUCACACUGCUCAAACAUUGUGGUGCUGCUUUCUUUCAUUCUGUCACCUCUUUCUCCUCCGCAUAAUGUGCUUUCUCUCUACUGAGCCACAGUGACACUUUAACAGGAGAUGAAACCUACCAAGACAUUUUCCAGGACUUUUCCCAGAUGGCGUCAAACGACCCGGAGAAGCUGAACCGCUACCAGCAGUACGACUCGCAACAGAGGCCAUGAGGGAGAUGCUACAACUCAGGAGGACCCACUUGGAAGUGUGCAGAUAGGUCCGGAAUUCUAACGGGGUGUGCUCAGCACCAGUAUCAGAAGGCCGUUUCUCCAGAACCUCAAUGGCGAAGGUGUCUGUCAUAUAUCGCUUUUAAUUGGUUUUAAUGGUCUACAUUUUUACCCCUCGAGUAAAAAAUACAUUUCAAUGUGGUGCUUUGUUGUUGAUCCAUAAUAAGCACUUUUUGCAGUUCUGGUAGCAUGUUUUCAUAGCAUUGAUCUGUUGUAUAUUAAGCUACAAGCGAGAUUCAUUAUGUCACAAUGUUAAACAUUAAGGUUAAUGUCAACCCCCAGGUAAACAUAUCCUGCCAUCUUACUUAAUUGCACAAGGUCCCACUUUCCUCGUCUUAAGUCAUCACUGAUGUUUACGGUGAAACUUUGAAGUGUGAGUCGAUGUACAGUUGGUGUAGAGUGCACGUUGCUGGUUUGUCACUCUUCCGAUAAUGUUGAAAAGCCCAUAAUGUGGCACAUGCAAAGAUUUUGAUAGUGGGUAUUUUUGAUGACAAUACUUUUGUUUUGUGUGAUUUUAGGGGUAAAAAUGAAUUGUCAGAUUCUCCAUGUUUGACACCAGACUAGUUAUUUGUUUGUGAGGGGAUUGGUAGUAGUGUUUUGUUUUUGUUUUGUUGUGUGGGGAAAACAAGCCUUAUGUUGUUUGAGUAUCAUUUCAUAUUCAAUCUCAUUUUGGGAUUGAACCCGGAAGCCAGCUGCACCAAUGUGUCGGAGGAAACACUAUACAAGUCAGCGUGCAUGCGGCCACACGAGUCGCUAGAGCGUGAUGGGACAAGGACAUCCCGGCCGGCCAAACCCUCCACUAACCCGGACGAUGCUGGGCCAAUUGUGCGCCGCAUCUCAGUCGCAGCCGGCUGCGACACAGCCCGGGAUUGAACCCGGGUCUGUAGUGACGCCUCUAGCACUGCCUUAGACCGCUGCGCCACUCAGGAGGCCCUGUGUUUGUCCCUUUCUGUAUGUUCAUGUUUGAGUUUAGGUCCCCAUAUUGUAGUACCCGCUGUUUCUGAAAUGCUCACUAUUAUAUUUCAAACUCAGUAUUUUUGCUUCCUGCUCAUUGGAUAGCAAAAAAUAACACCUACAAACAAUCAGUGUAGAUGAAGAGACCGGUAUCCUUUUUCUGCACUGGGCUAAAUCAUGGUCACAGUGAUUCUUGGUAAUCUUAAACAAAUCUACACACCACACACAUGGUUAUGGGCUUUAAAGAAAAUACACCUGUACCAUGUCAGAGUUUAAAUGUAUUAAAUUGAGUUUGUAUCCCAAUAUUACACUUUAUAUACACAUCACAGAAGACUGAAAUAUAACAAAACUGUUUGAGAGACACCAGAUUUUUGUUUAUAAUUAUGAAAAAUAUUAACAUUCCACCCAUGAGGCCAAAGAAGGUGCUUUUGGUCAUAGAAAUCCUUCUGUAGCACUUUACUGCAGUCUAAGCCUUGAGACAAUUGAGACAUGGAUUGUAAUUGUGUGCCAUUCAGAGGGUGAAUGGGCAAGACAAAAGAUUUAAGUGCCUUUGAAUGGGGUAUGGUAGUACUGAAGGUGCCAGGCGCACCGGUUUGAGUGUGUCAGGAACUGCAACGCUGCUGGGUUUUUCACACUCAAAUGUCCAGUGUGUAUCAGGAAUGGUCCACCAACAAAAGGACAUCCAACUGUAGGCUGUGGGAAGCAAUGGCGUCAACAUGGGCCAGUAUCCCUGUAGAAUGCUUUCGACAACUUGUAGAGUCCAUGCCCUGACAAAUUGAGUCUUUUCUGAGGGCAAAGGGGGGUGCAACUCAAUAUUCUGUGGAUACAUACUACUGUCACUCUUUUCGGCAUUGCAUUUACAACGCGAAGAGCUCUUCAGCCCGUUAUACCUGGUGCUAACAUGCUUCCUGUGUCCGUAUCGGCUCCACAUUCUGAUUAUGCCCACAUUUUUAUACCUGCCAAAACGAUUAAAAUAACGGAGUGUGAUCAGAUUUUCCUGACUACUUCUGGAGGUAGUCUGGAACCUAAACAUUUCUUUGACUCUCGCCUGUAAAAACCCACCCACUGACCUCUCGCUAAACUCGGCCCACUGAGCUUUCAUCCAACCAAUCAAUUCAUCCCUGACUGUCUGGAGGUGGUCAGGAAGAUCGGUUCUUUUAAUUGUCUAUACCCGUCUAAAAAUGUGUGCAAGAUCAAGACAUGUUAUCAGCAGGUAUAAACGGGGCUAUACUUAAUACAACAUGGGAUAUCUCUUGUACUGCUUUUGUAUAUGCCUACGUUAAAUAUAGUGGUACCAGAAUAAUUAAAUAAGCUCUUGUAAAUGCUGUUCAUGUUCUUACAUUUCGUCUUUUUAUAUUUUCUCUCCCUAUACCACUCAUAUGUAUACUAUCCAUGUAAUUAAGGACUAUAUUACAUUUACUGCAAAUAGUGGACUGAAAAUGUAUUGCUGAAUGUCGAAUUGUUUGUUUGCUUUGUCAGAUUGAUUAUAUAAAUACAUUUUCCGUUGUGA